UACAGAGGUCCCAAGCGUUGUUCGGAUUCAUGGGGCGUAAAGGGUGUGUAGGUGGCGCCGUAAGUCGGGUGUGAAAUCUCGGGGCUUAACUCCGAAACUGCAUUCGAUACUGCGGUGCUUGAGGACUGGAGAGGAGACUGGAAUUCAUGGUGUAGCAGUGAAAUGCGUAGAGAUCAUGAGGAAGACCAGUGGCGAAGGCGGGUCUCUGGACAGUACCUGACACUGAGACACGAAGGCCAGGGGAGCAAACGGG
RNAcentral lists this ribosomal RNA (253 nucleotides) under uncultured bacterium. RNAcentral's name for it is "partial 16S ribosomal RNA". It matches the Rfam family "Bacterial small subunit ribosomal RNA", at positions 524 to 776 of the family's 1533-position model. The record is from RNAcentral.